UACGUAGGGUCCGAGCGUUGUCCGGAAUUAUUGGGCGUAAAGGGCUCGUAGGCGGUUCGUCACGUCGGGAGUGAAAACUCGGGGCUUAACCCCGAGCCUGCUUCCGAUACGGGCAGACUAGAGGUAGGCAGGGGAGAGCGGAACUCCUGGUGUAGCGGUGGAAUGCGCAGAUAUCGGGAGGAACACCGGUGGCGAAGGCGGUUCUCUGGGCCUUACCUGACACUGAGGAGCGAAAGCGUGGGGAGCGAACAGG
Molecule: ribosomal RNA, 253 nt
Filed under: uncultured bacterium
Lineage: Bacteria
Description: partial 16S ribosomal RNA
Rfam family: Bacterial small subunit ribosomal RNA
Source: RNAcentral